ACUGAUGAAGGCGAUUACCAGGUAAAACUGCGCAACCUGCGUCGCUUUCUGGAAGGUGGCGAUAAAGCCAAAGUUACGAUCCGUUUCCGCGGACGUGAAAUGGCUCACCAAGAGAUCGGCAUUGAGCUGCUGAAUCGCGUUAAAGGCGAUUUGGAAGACAUUGCCAACUGUGAGUCUUUCCCUCGUAGAGUGGAAGGCCGUCAGAUGAUCAUGGUGCUCGCCCCACUUAAGAAGUAGUAGUGGUUUAAAGUUUUUGGGAAUCUGCACCCCAAAACACCCUGCUGCAAAUAUUAACCGGUGGAAAGGUGACUGCACACCCCAUACCGAUAUUAACAAUGCGGA
This 342-nucleotide unclassified non-coding RNA is filed under the name Marisediminitalea aggregata. Its description in RNAcentral is "Aestuariibacter aggregatus Long range pseudoknot". The record is from RNAcentral. Lineage: Bacteria; Pseudomonadati; Pseudomonadota; Gammaproteobacteria; Alteromonadales; Alteromonadaceae.